UACGUAGGGUGCAAGCGUUAAUCGGAAUUACUGGGCGUAAAGCGUGCGCAGGCGGCUUUGCAAGACAGAUGUGAAAUCCCCGGGCUCAACCUGGGAACUGCAUUUGUGACUGCAUCGCUCGAGUGCGGCAGAGGGGGAUGGAAUUCCGCGUGUAGCAGUGAAAUGCGUAGAUAUGCGGAGGAACACCGAUGGCGAAGGCAAUCCCCUGGGCCUGCACUGACGCUCAUGCACGAAAGCGUGGGGAGCAAACAGG
RNAcentral lists this ribosomal RNA (253 nucleotides) under uncultured bacterium. RNAcentral's name for it is "partial 16S ribosomal RNA". It matches the Rfam family "Bacterial small subunit ribosomal RNA", at positions 524 to 776 of the family's 1533-position model. The record is from RNAcentral.